GACGAACGCUGGCGGCGCGCCUAACACAUGCAAGUCGAACGGAGCUGAGAGAAGCUUGCUUUUCUUAGCUUAGUGGCGAACGGGUGAGUAACGCGUGAGUAACCUGCCCUGGAGUGGGGGACAACAGGUGGAAACGACUGCUAAUACCGCAUAAGCCCACGAUCCGGCAUCGGAUUGAGGGAAAAGGAUUUAUUCGCUUCAGGAUGGACUCGCGUCCAAUUAGCUAGUUGGUGGGGUAACGGCCCAGCAAGGCGACGAUUGGUAGCCGGACUGAGAGGUUGACCGGCCACAUUGGGAAUGAGACACGGCCCAGACUCCUACGGGAGGCAGCAGUGGGGGAUAUUGCACAAUGGGGGAAACCCUGAUGCAGCGACGCCGCGUGGAGGAAGAAGGUUUUCGGAUUGUAAACUCCUGUCGUUAGGGACGAUAAUGACGGUACCUAACAAGAAAGCACCGGCUAACUACGUG
RNAcentral lists this ribosomal RNA (468 nucleotides) under uncultured bacterium. RNAcentral describes it as "partial 16S ribosomal RNA". It matches the Rfam family "Bacterial small subunit ribosomal RNA", at positions 28 to 507 of the family's 1533-position model. The record is from RNAcentral.